UCCUGGGGAAAACAUACAUUGAUCAGUCUGAGAACUCAAUUGUCACGCCCAAAGAGUUCAGGCAAAUGAUGGACGAGGUGUUUUUGCUGACUGGUGUGUUUAACAUUGGUGAUUUCAUACCUUGGAUCGAUUUCUUGGAUUUGCAGGGGUAUAUCAAGAGGAUGAAAAUCUUGAGCAAGAAAUUUGAUAGGUUUCUGGAGCAUGUUCUUGAUGAGCAUAAUGCCCGGAGGAAGGACGAAACUGAUUGUGUCAGCAAGGACAUGGCGGACGUCCUUCUGGACCUUGCAGAUGAUCCCACUUUGGAGGUGAAGCUAGAGAGGCGUGGAGUCAAGGCAUUGACUCUGGUAUAUGUUACUUACAAACUGCAUAACGCAUGCUGUCAACUUUUAAACGACUGAAAACUUGAGAGAAAAUAGUCAGUGAUCUUUUGAACUUGAAUACUCAAAAUUUUCUUUGCUACUGAAAACUUGAGAGAAAGUAGUCUGGAUCUUUGUAGUUUGAUGAAAAUUUUUCAGUAGAGGCAGAAUUAACAAGAAAAUUCUUUUUAAUCCUUCUAAAAGAAAUUGCUUUUGAUAAAGGUACUCAAGUAAGUAAGUUGAUUGUUGGCCAAGUACAGUCAAUUUGCAACUUAAGAACGUUUGUGGGCCAAGUCAAUUUGCAACACAAGAAGUUGAUUAGAACUUGAGUUUUGCUGAUAAGUACAUUGGUUCUAUUCUUUGCCAAAUUAAUAUAAUAUCCAUGGUAGUAAGAUUUAUUUCACGUUCCGGUGGGGAGCACAAAUAAUAAUUCUUAAGAAAUUCCAAGCCUAUUAUAGGAAAUUUAUUUUGUGCCCUGUUUCAUUCAGAUAUCACAUUCGGAACAUUGAAACAUAAAUAAGUUUAAGAACUUCAAUAAUUGGACUAAGUUUCUUGCUGCACUUUGCGUAAUGAUUGAACUCUAGGACCUGCUUGCUGGUGGAACCGAGACCUCAGCGACUACAGUAGAAUGGGCCAUUUCGGAGCUACUGAAAAACCCAGAAAUAUUCAACAAGGCAGCCGAAGAACUCGACCGUGUUAUCGGUCAGAAUCGAUGGGUGAAAGAGAAGGACAUGCCAAAUCUUCCUUACAUAGAGGCUAUUGUUAAAGAAACAAUGCGUAUGCAUCCCGUGGUCCCAUUGCUAGUGCCAAGAUGUGCUCGCGAAGAUUGCAAAGUUGCAGGGUACGAUAUUCGAAAGGGAACUCGAGUCAUCGUCAACGUUUGGUCAAUUGUGAAGGACCCUGAAUUGUGGGAGAAGCCAGAGGUAUUUUGCCCCGACAGAUUCAUGGGAAAGGACAUUGACUUCAAAGGGCAAGACUGUAAGUUCUUGCCAUUUGGUGCUGGAAGAAGAAUGUGCCCAGGGUACAGUUUAGGCCUCAAGGUUAUCCAAUCUAGUUUGGCCAAUCUUUUACAUGGAUACAGAUGGAAGUUGCCAAAUGACAUGAAGCCUGAGGACCUUGACAUGGAAGAAAUAUUUGGGCUUACUACACCAAGAAAGAUCCCACUUGUUGCCAUUGUUGAGCCUCGGCUUCCUCGUAAUCUUUAUUCACUAUGAUUCACUACGUGUAUGUUUGAUCUCCCAGUAUCAUCAUUAUCAACUUGUGUUCAAAUAAAUCAGCUCUGCAAGUUUAGAAUUUGUAGCUGCGCUUAUAUGUGUUUGCCAAUUGCCACAACGCUACAAACCCUUGUAGUUGGUGCAUGGCAUAUGCGUAACCACUGAGAUUGUUAUGCUUAUUGAAGUCCAAAUUUGUUCGCAAUUAUGUGAAACUGUGAAUACGCACACCCCUGAUGUUUCAAAUACAUUCUAUAACAUUCUGAUGCUAAUUUAAAUCUGCAAUAGUAGGUUCACAGUCAAAGCAAUGUGCUCUCUGCCAUCUUUCCUCUUAGCAUCUUCCAUCAAUUCCUGUGCACCUCUAAGCCAUGCCACUGGAUUGGUGCUACUUUCCGUACUUGUUGGGAGGAAGAGAGAAAGAGAAAAAAAAAAAAAAAAAGAGCGGAGGGUGAGGUGGCUGCGGCAGUGAUGGCAUGGGAAGGGAGGGAAGAGGAAGAGCAGCAGUGGUGUGGUGCGGAGAGAAAGAGAAGAAGAGAGGAGAGAAAAGAAAAAAGAAAAAAAAAGGAAAAAAAAAAGCAAGAUUUGGAAUUUUUUCAAACCUUCAAAUGCACAAAAGUUUUCUUACUAGUUUUAUAGUAAAGCAUAGUAAAAUGUUAAACUAACGCCUAGAAAAUAGCAAUCAUUUUGGAAACAAACCCUGAGAUUUAUUAUAAUAUCACUUAGCUUCUCUGAAGUUUUUAAAAUCUUACUUUCUUCCCCUACCAACUUGGGAAGAUCAAGUGUUCCUAUCAAAGGUCACAAAUUUACAACAAUUACUGUUGCACUCUUUAUGACUAUUUAAUUGAAAAGACCAAAAACUAUAGAUGAAAAAGAUAACCAAAUUGCUAUCCAAUAUUGGUGGAUAUUUCUUUGUAUCAACGUGGUGGUGGAAUAGUAAAAGACAUGGGUAAACUAAAUUCUAGUUAAAGACAUGGGUAAUUUUUGCAGAAUAGUUAUGAGGAAAUCAAGAAAUUCUUUUAGAAAAUAUGUUCUAAUAUAGGAUAUAAUAUAAGUUAUACUAAAAAUUAAAAUAACCUCUUUAUACAUGUGGUUUGUAAUAUAAAUCCUACUUAUAGAAAAAAUUAUAUAAAUAAGUCAGAAUUUAAAAAAUUAAUUAGAAAUGUUCUAAUGACCAAAUAUAUCUCUAGGAAUAUUCUUUUUUUUGUUAGAACAUCAUUUUUUAUACAAGGUAAUAGUUAUUGUACAUCUACAAGAUUAUUCGUUAUUGCAUUUAUAGUUGCUCAUAUUUUCAACUUUUUACUUUUCAACUUUAUUUUAUUUUUUAUUGUUGUUGUUCGCUUAAUAAGUAGGAUAGCAUAAGAGUAAUAUUAGAACAAAAAUUUUAUCUUUCUUGCAUUUCCUUCAAAGGGGUUAAAAUGUAUGAAGAAUAUGAAAACAAGAGAGGUAUGUGAGAUUUUAAAAAUUGAAAGAGUUCUAAGUGAUAUUAUGAGAAAUGUCAUGCGAGGUUUCUGAAAUUAUCCCCAAAAAAAUCAUCCAAAUGAACCUUCUUGUUGUUGCAAAAUCUUUGCUUCGGAAUCCUAGUGCCAUAUUUCCAUCUUCUUUAACUCUCCGUCUCUCCACCAAAAAAAAACAAAAAAGAAGCAAUUUUGGUAGCGAGCUACUUUGAAUAAGAUCGUGAAAUAAUUGCAUGUAGAAAUUUGACAAGAAGUGAAAGCAAUCAAAUUUGCAAUAUGUCAACAUAUAUUUUUAUAUGAAAACGUAUUCUAGUAUUCCAUGAGCCAUUUUGUCUUGCCUUUCGUUCUGCUAGGAAAUGGCCAAAUCCUCCUAAUAUUGUUACUUCCCAAUAAUUGGGUAAGCAGAUAAAAUAUGGCUUUGUCGGCCAUGUAGCACGACGGGGAGGUCCAGAAUAUUUUUUUGAAAAAAAAUGGCAGAGGGUCGUCGCGCCCUGGCUUUUUUUACCACACUGUCGCGCCAACGUGAUGCAACGAACCUGGCAGCUAUGCGACGAGCCUUUUUUUUUUUCAAAUGUUUUGUAAAAAAUGUGUAGGUUCCGUUAAGUUUUUUUUUUUUUUUUGGAUAAGGCGGUUUUGGUUUCUUAAGUUUUAGCAUGUUUAGGAUUUACAAUUUAUUAUUUAGGGUUUAGGAUUUGUUAAGUUUGUUGAUAAAAGGGUUUGGAUAUGGCCAUUGUAGUUAAUAAAGGAUUUAUUAAAUUUGUUAAUAUAGUCGAUAACUUACAUAAAAAUUAAAUGAAACAUAAUUGUAUUGAAGAAAAAAAUGAGUACAUGAAUCGCAGUUUUUGUAUUUUAGAAUUUAUAUAAAAUGCAAUAGUGUAAAAAAAUUAAUAAUAUAUUGAAAAAUUAAUAGUUGUUUAUAGAAUGCACACAUAAUGAAAGUACUUUUUUAGGUCGUUAUUUGGUAUACGAUGGUACUUGAUACUUAUAUUAAAUGAUUAAACCAGUUAAAGUGGUCAUAAAUUGACUUGUACUUCUACAUUUAAUAAAUUAAUGGAUCCUUUUAUCCAAUUAUAGAAUUUCAUCAAAUAAUUUGUACUUUUGUAUUUUGAAAAUAUGUAACGUUAUUAAACUUUAAAAUAAUUAAACAGGAAAAGUAGGACAGUUAAUUAAAUGUCAAGAUAGUAUGCAGUAUAUUGAAUGGAUGGGAUUUAAAUCUAAGUAGAAGACCGGACAAUAUCAACACUUCGGGGUUUCUUGUCUUUAUCCUUGUCUUCGGCCUUCUAACAAGGUGUGGUUGGGGGAUACGUUUGUUUGGAUAGAGGAUUAUUUAUCAAAAUUUAUUUACUUACAUCAUUAUUAUAAUUUUUAACACAUCUUUUUAUCUUUUUAAUUAUUUUUUUAUCUCAUGUACAUCAUAUCACAAAAAAUACUAUAAUAAAAAUAUCUCAAGUCGUAGUCUCCAAGAUCCAGCUAACCGGCAGAAACAGUAUUGAAGAUUGUCUAGCUACUUGACUUCAAUAUUGAAGAUUGUCCGGCACAUAAAAUCCCAAGUCGUAGUCUCCAAGAUCCAGCUAACCGGUAGAAACAGUAUAUGAAGUGACGACGAGGUUCUUGAUAAAUCCAUUUAUGACAGCACCAUGUGCAACUCAUGAUAAAUCCAUAGGCUGUGAAUCUCCAUUCGGUCAUAAUUAAAUAUGAUAUAGCUUAAAAUAGGCAGACGGAUGCAUAAUACAUGCGUUGAUUAAGUGAUGAUUCAGAACCUUUUCGGGUUCGGGCCUUUUCUCUUUCCAUUAUGUAGUGGGCUAUCUUAUCGACAAAAAAAAAAAAAAAAAAUCUCCAUUCGGCCAAAAAUCAUAAACUCAUGGGCCAAAAAAUUGAUAAACAAGUUGAGUACUACGCUUUACAUCUUUCUCUGUAAUCAUUUUCACGAGUUUGUCAUGUAGCGUGAUAUUAUUGCGAAAGAAAGUUUUCUCUAUUAUGACAGGACCAUGUGCAACUCCUGUCAGACUCAGGAGCUUUGACCUUUACGACUGGAUGUGUCGGCCGAAGGAAAUUACAUGGAAACCUUUAUGGUGGAACCUGCCUAUGGUAGAAAGGCCGGCAGAGAGACACGUGUUGACGUUAUAUACAAUUCAAACGGAGACGUUAAAUUGUUACGCAGCGUGUGAAGAGAAAAUAUACGAGAAUCGUCUGCAGAUGCAACCAAAAAGCACACUGACUUCCGUACGAGUUAGACCAGAAAGUGUUAUUGCAUGUUAAAAUAAGAGGCAUUUAUGUAUUUGCAAAUGUACCCAUUACCAAUGGAAAAAUGUUGCAAAUGCCUUGGACAAAAAAUGUGAAUAAAGAAGGUACCGAAAUUUUAAGAAAUAAUAAAUGAUUAUCGCAUACGCGUGGGGGAUAAUAAUUUGGAAGAAGAAAAAGCGGAGGUAAAUGAAAGGAUUCAAGCCUUCAUUAUAUUUAGGGCAAAUUAUCCAAUUGGCCCUUUAACUCUUUGUCUAGGUAAAAUUAAGCCCCUCGUCUAUUUUUUGCUGACUUUAAGCCCUUGAACUUGUAAAAUGGGAAAUUCGUGGCCCUUUUAGCCAGUUUCUCCGGUUUUGCAACCGGAGGACCAAUUCACACGAACGCCAGUGUGCUUCUUUCAAGGGCAAUUUUGUCCUCAUAUUCUAAGCAAAAAGGGCACACAUAGUAGACGUUCUAACAAAAAAGGACAAAAAAAAAAAACAAAAUGCUGCUAAUCCCUCCCUUACUCAUGGAGCCUGUAGCAGGCAUAUGACCCAUGACAAUAAAGUAAACAAAUAAUUCAAAAAAAAAAAGAAGAAACAAUACGGAUUAAAACAAUUAAAUUAAAGAAACUGAACAUUACAUCCAAUGGGCAAAAGGGCUUUGAAAAAAGAUGAACUCAGAGACAAAGAUCGUAUUUUUACCAUACUGAUGGCUAAAAGCGUGCAAGGAAAAUGGAGUUACCGGAAUCGAAGUCAUCGAGUUUGUGAAGCUUGACGGAAUCAGAAGUAGACUGCAAAAUCAGGGUUCGAACACUCUGGCGAUUCCAUUCUUCGUGUGGAUAUAUAUUGAAUUUCUUGAGGUGAAAAAGCAGUUGUUGAGAAGAUGAAAUGGGCUUCGAUUUUUGCUUCAGCCAUUGCUGGCCUGCUGAUUUUGCUACAGCAGGUAAAAAAACCAUGGCUGGCUUUUUCCCUAUCUUUCUUUUCUGUUCCUUUUAAGGAUUUGUGGAGCCGAUCAUUUGCUUCAACUGCACCCUUUUUCUUUUUUCUUUUCUUUUCUUUUCUUUAUUUUCAUGUCAUGCCAAGUCACUAAUUUGAUCGCGACAACAGGCAACGAAGUUUGUUUGACAAAAGAGGAUGAGGUUUUUUUUUUUUUUUCCAAUGAAAAACUUGGGAUUUCAGCUUAAAACUUAACAAAUCAAAGCGCUUGUUAAUUGAAUUAUGCUUGCCUCACUCCUCUCUGGGUUUGUCGUCAUAAUCGUCGGAGACAUCGGAGACGACGUCGGAGAUAUGAUUCUUGGAAGCGGCCGAGACACCGGUCCAGUGGACUUUGCGGGUGUGGGUGACGGGGUGGCAGGGUUUUAAGAGGAUUUUUGAGAAGGAAGAGCAGAAGGGCUUGUCAUGAGGAGGGGUUGUGAGCGGAGAGAGCUUCUGGGAGGCCGCGACGGCCGCGGCUGCUGCGGUGGCGACAAAGACGGCCAUGGGAUUGCGUGGGGGUUGCGCAAGGAAGAGUAAGGCAGGUAAGGGAAAUCAAAUAGAAAGGUGGACUAUGUGUGCCCUUUUUGCUUAGAAUAUGAGGACAAAAAUGCCCUUGAAAGAAGUACACUGGCGUUCGUGUGAAUUGGUCCUCCAGUUGCAAAACCGGAGAAACUGGCUGAAAGGGUCACGGGUUCCCCAUUUUACAAGUUCGAGGGCUUAAAGUCAGCAAAAAAUAGAUGAAGGGCUUAAUUUUACCUAGACAAAGAGUUAAAGGGCCAAUUGAAUAAUUUGCCCUUAUAUUUAUAUACAUAUAUAAAUUUAGUACCCAAGUGUUCAGCUUAAGCAUCCAGGAAAAUGGUCCCAUAACUAUCGAUACGGUAAACAACACAGUUUUGGAUAUGAUAUAAUAGGUUCUAAAAAUUUUAGCGACCAUUUGAUUACCCGUUAGACCUAUCCACUUGAAUAGGAUUAUGGGUAAAAAUAAGGGAGUAAAUUUGUCAUUCAAAAUAGUAAGUUAGCGUAAUAAAUUAGUAACUUUUGCAGUCGAAAAGGUAAAUUGUAAGUAAUAUGAAACAUACUUUUUAAAGAGAUAAAUUACAAUAGUAUAUCCCAAAUAUACUUUUGAGGGAGUAAGUUUAUUUGAAGUAAAAAUAUGUUUUUAUAUAGAAAUAAUGAGUUUUAGUUAUAACAUAGUAAAUUUGAUUAAUGACAAAAAACAUGCUAAUUUAUGGCCAAAAUAUUGUAUUAUGCUUAAAAAACUUAUACGAAGCCUAUAUUUUAGAGUUAUUUGAAAUAACACAAAAAUGUAUUAUUACUGAUUAAAACUGAGUACGUUACUUAGUCAGUACAGUUAUUAUAGUUGUAUACAUACUUGAUGGUAUGUGUAUAAAUAAGCAUUUUUGAGAUUUAUGGGAAAAUUGAUUUUUUCUUUUGCAGUUUAAAAAAAAGGUAAGCGAAAAUCUUUUUUCUCAGAGCACAAAAAUCCACAAGUCAAAGUUCUUGGUCUAAAGGGGAAAGAAACAUUCUGAAUAUCAUUGUUUACAGUACUAAAUAAAUUAGAUGUAAAAUGCUCGUUAAAAGCAGGUACGUUGACAUAUAAUAAAGGAAAGACAUAAAGAGCAGGCCAUUUACGAGAAAAGUUGUCAUUCAUAAAAAUAGCAACGCUUUACGGUUUUCUUAUCAAUCUUGCAACGUAUGAGCAAAAUGGCAAUAAUUAAAAUAGUAUUUUAUUCGAAUUAUACAUAUUUCAUUAAUUUUUUUCCAUUUAAAAAAAAUGAAUGAGAAUCUUUUAUGAGAAAGCACAUAAGUCAAAGGAAUGGUGUAAAAGGGAAAAGAAUAGCAUAUACGUACAGUACCUAUAGUUUAUGUUCGAAGGACUAUAGUGCUAUUUUUGAAAAAUAUCCUGAAAAAUAUGUAAUCGAAACCGAACCGAUUCUUCACUAUUUAAAAUGUCAAAUCUGUGAUUGUGUUGUAACUGUUAUUCAUUGUUAUCGUAAAGUAUCAUUUUUCCAUAAAAUUUCACCUCUUUAACACCAAUUUUCCCAUACACCAAUUUAUUUAUCAGAUAAAAUACAUGAAAAUUCGGUUUUGAAUAAAACAGUAGCUGUUUAUGGCUUUCCUCCAUUAUAAGAACAUAGUACCCAUUUUUGCAUAAACAAAUUUAUUUAUCGGAUGAAAUAAAAAUAAAUCCAUUGUUCAAUAAAACACUAACUCUUUAUGGCUUUCCUCCAUUAUAAAUCACUAGUUCUUUUAAUUGGAAGGAAAUCACAUGUCAAAUUUCAUUUGAUUUGUGGAUGGAAGGCUAUGGAAGCUGUAGGCCCCGAAGCAAAAUUAAUUGGUCCACAAAAAUUGCCAAAUUAGUUUUCUUUUUCCAAAUUUCAGUUAUGUGAGUAAAUGAAAGCUUUUACAACCAUUAGUUCUUUUAAAAUAUUUUCAAGCGUAACUGCAUGCACACAUUCUAUAUUCAUUUGUCUCUUUUUCAGUUUUUAUACUCCAUCUAGGAUGUCUAAUCAUUAUUUCGUGAAAAAGGAAAAAAAACUAUGUAUAUUUUUUCUUUAUAAUUAGUCAAUUACAAAUUGGUAAAGUUCUAGCCAAUUUCAUCCAUUAUCUAACUUGCAAGAAAGGAAUAGAUAUCUCCUAGAUACAAAGUUCAAAAGGAAUUUCUAGUCUUUUAUAAUCACGAUCACAUGAUGUUUCGGACUUUCGGUGGAUAUCUAUUUGUCCAUUUUCCGUUAAAGAAACUUUACUUAUUACAAUCUUUUCUUUACACUCCUCUAAAAUAGUAUGAAGUAUUACCAUAAUUCCUAACAUAUCAUUAUUAAAACGAGGGUUAAGUAUUAUUGGAAAGUAAUCAUUAAAUAGUAUAUGAUUUAAUUAUUCUUAAUAACUUUCAAAGUAUGUCUUACAUUCAUUAAAUUUAUUGUUUUAGUUCAUUUAUAUCCAUGUUUUUUGGAAAAUUAAAGUUCGAAGAUAAAAAGAAGUUAAUGCAAAUUAAUGCACGGCUGAAUAACUGGUGGUCUAAUUCUAUUGCUUGCUUAUUAACAAGAAUGACCACGCCAACACUACUACAAUAAUACACUCAUACUUUUGCGUUUCUUAAUUACUUGCAUUACUUAUUCUUUCUUCCCAACAAUUCUACAGCCCAUAAUCAAUUUUAAUUCAAUAAUCUUCAUACAACUCUGAACAUAUAACUAUAUUUAAUAUAAAUUCUUAAGUUCAUAAACAAUCAUUAGUAUCAAAAUCAUAAAGUUGUAUCGCACAAUAGGAUGCUCUUCGCAUCAUUAUCAGAAGUAAUUUCAAUUUCGUCGCAUUUGGCUAUAGACGUCAUUUUCUGUGUGACUUCCUUCUUCUGACACGUAUCCACUUUGUAUGGUUGGAACUUCCCGCUAUAGACCGAUCUGGUAGGUCGUGGCCAAUAAUGGGAUAGCAUAGUUUUUUUGCCCCAUCACUUAAGCACGGCAAGAAUUUUUUUUUUUAAAAAUUUUAAAUAGCUGCAACAAGUUAUUAACAAAAGAUAAUAUGCUAGCGCUAUUCCCGUUGCCUCUAGAGGAUUUUUCAGCCAACAAACUCCUUCAACUCCCUUCCUCAAGUUCUUUCUAGGGUUCUUUCCAUUUGUUUCUGUAAUACAUUUUUUUGACAAAUUUUCAAUCCUAUUAUUUUCUCAGUAGAAGUAUCUUUCUUUCUUAGUGAGAGUUUUUGCUUUUUUUUUUAUAUAGUUUUUAUCAGAUUUAAGUUUAUUCAAGUCUAAACUUUCUCGCAGGGCUUCAAAAUCUGUCCGGGGAAGGCUUACAAAUCAUUUGCAACUACAGAGAUUUAUAUGCAUUUAAUUGUAAGAAAAUUUGGAGCUUUCUAGUAUUUUUUUUUUUCUUAUUGGUUUCUCUGAUUUGAAGGAAGUCACUUCUUUUUGCAUUUCCAUUGCGUCUUUUUCAUAUAUUUGUUGCUAUUUGUACAACUUUUCUGUGAUUAAAUAAAAUUCCCUUCCUCGUUAAAAUAAAUGAAAGAAAAUAUGAAGGAGAAAUUAAAUUGAUCUAAUUGACAAUAUGUCUUUAUCACUAGAUGCCUUCUCAGAUAUUCUCAAAAACUUCCAUACUCUAACUAUCAUUAUUUUACCACAAUAGUACUUCUUUAACAAUUACUAGCAUUUCUAUGUUGUCAUUUGAACUGCUUCCUUUCCAUCUUUGGUACACUUAAAUUUGCAAUUAUCUUAUGAAAUUCUUAAAUUCAGUAACUUUCAGCUACAUGAUAUGGUGAGAGAUAUUUGUUUGACAUGAUAUAAACCUAAUAAGAAAAGAAUUCAAUUUGAAAACACACGUAAGACAAUAUAUAUAGGUCCAUGUACAUAAACCAAAGAACAAAAUUAUAUCAAUUCAGUAAGCACAUUUAAUAAUAUUCCCUGGAGCCUUAAAGCAUAAGUUAAACAUUUUAUCUGGAAAUGUCUCCUAAGAAUCUUAUACGUGAUGAAGUAAAUAGGCAGAGAACUGGGAAACGGAAAGACUUGAGCAUAUGCUUUUUUUUUUGGUGAAAUUGCAUAACAAAUAUUAGGGGUGGGCACGGGUCGGGGUACCCGCCCCUAAUACGUUUUGGCUGACCCGACCCUAAAAUAUCGGAUCAGCCAUUUUGCGACCCUAACCCGCUCCUAAUAUUUUCGGGUACCCGCUAUUCGGGUACCCGAAAAAAAGGGGCGGGUCAUAGGGUACCCGCCCCUAAAAAAAAAUUCCAAUAAAAAAUAUUUUUCAUUUAAUAUCAACAUAUUUUUCAAUAAAAAAAAUGUUUUCUGAUUAACAUUGGUAGAGAUAUUAUAAUCAAAAUCCAUACGUCAUCAUUCUCACACAUUUCAUCCAAUAAUCAAACCGAUCUCAUAAAUUUAGUACAUAUUAGAAUUAUAAUAUCUAAUAGACAAAAUGAAAUUUCAUGAUAAUUUUGAGUACAUCACCAUUCUCACGCAUUUCAUCCUUUUAUAACAUAACAAAUACAAGGAUAAUAAGUAUUUGGCAAAUUUUUCAACUUUCUUAAGGAUGUUAUGGUACAAAACUGCAUCCAAAAUGAGUCGAUUGUGGAAUCAAAUCCGGAAAAGAAUUGAACAGAGCUAAUAAUUUUUGAAGUAUAAUCAAAAUAAUCAUGAAAAAUUUUCACCAACUUUCUUACAUCUUUGGAAUAGACCUUAUUGCAUUAAAGGUGAUGAAAAAGAAAAAUAAAUUUCUUGCACUAAAAUAAAGGAGACAAAGUUAAGAGACACAAUUGCAAUAAAACAAAUAAAUAAAUGAAAGACACAAAUGUUUUAAUUAUCUAGCUAAUAGAAAAUUGGAGCUCCAAACACAAAUUUUUGAUUGAAUUGAUGAAAAAUUUGCAAGAAAGAUCGAUGGAAGUAGAAUAAAAAUGAAAAAGGAUGAAAAGGAUGAACAAUUUUUAUGAUAGAGUUUUGUUUUGUUCAUUUUAGUUCAGGUUUCACCAAGAAUAUUCGUUCUUUUAAGACAAGAUGAGGAGAGGCGGAUCAUAUGAGAUUAGAAUAUGAAGUUGUGAACCACUUUACUUACACUUAGGAUUAAAAAUUAUAAAAAUAUGAUGAACCCUUAUUUUUUUAAUAUUUAUAUAAUAUACCCUGCGGGUUGGGUACCCGCGGGUUUUUAUUUUAUUGAUCCGUAUCCGUAUCCGUUUUUACGGGUACCCGAUCCGCAUCUGCCCCGCUAAGAAAAAUCGGAUCGGAUAUCCUAUUUUUCGGAUCGGAUCGGAUCGGGUUCAUCGGGUUUCGGAUCGGAUCGGAUUUUUUGCCGACCCCUAACAAAUAUGGUAAGUAGCACCAAUCCAGUGGGAUGGCCUAGGAAAUAGAAGCAACCUCUGCCAUUGAUGAGGGGAGUUGAUGGAAGAAAACGCAUUGCUUUGAACUGUAAACCUGUGCAGAUUUGCAAAGAAAGGAGGUUGUUCAAGUGCCAAUUCAGUGGCCAUGACACCACCUGGACGGUCGGACCAUUCAGUACUGACAGAGCCAUGUUAAGACAAGGGUGGAGCCAUGUUAGAGAUCAAUAAUCAGAGGCUUACAAAAUUUCGUAAUUUUUCAAUUUAGCUCACAUUUGCACUGACAAAUUUUGUAAAAAUUUAUUUUGCUCUCGCAUUGCCCCUUAGAGCAUCUACAAUGGUUUACACCCUUUAGGGUGUAAUCCACAUGCCACAUCAACAUUCCACUAUCUCCUCUUUUUAUUACACUCUUAUCCACAAUGGAUUACACUCACAGAAUAUAAUAGCAUAGGUCCACAUGCCACAUCAGCAUUCCACUAUCUCCUCUUUUAUUAUACUCUCUCCUCUCUUUUAUUUUAACAAUGCACAACUCAUAACCCAUAAAUAAAUAAAUUUAUUAUUUUAAAAAUGGUUAUUUUUAAAAAUAAAUUAUUAACGUGACACCUCAAACGUGAAAAUAUCAUAAUAAUCCAUUAUUCAUUAAUAAUACCCUAUCUACUGAAUUUAACUCCACGACAUACUAUUAAAAUUAAAUAAAAUACAAAUAAUAAUAUAACGAAUAGUAAUUUUUAUUAUUAUUGCCUCCAAAUCGUUCCCAAAUAUGAUCGAAUAAAUUGGACAGAAGUUGAUGAUGUACUUCCCGAUUAUGUAGUUUCGCAUUCCUCUAAAGAUAAUGGUGAAAAUUUUCGACUUGAGUUACAGGGAUCGUUGGUUCUUCAUCAUCAUCAUCCCAGUUUUUUAUUGCAUCUCCCUCAUCCUCGACAAUCAUAUUAUGCAAUAUGAUGCAUGUGUACACUAUAUCUUUCAAUUUAGCUUUAUGCCAAAAUCGAGCUGGGCCACAUACAAUUGCCCAACGAGAUUGGACCACUCCAAAAUCUUGCUCGACGUCUUUGCUUGCAGCCUCCUGUAUUUGCUUAAAUUUGAUCCUCUUUGGAUCUUUAGGAGAUGUAAAACUUUUAACAAAUGUUGUCCAUUCUGGAUAUAUGCCAUCUGCUAGACAAUAUCCUUUGUUGUACUGUGUGCCGUUUACCAUAAAUUGAAUAUCAGGAGCAUAUCCGUGUAACACGUCAUUAAAUAGCGGAGAUUGAUUGGAGUACAUUAAUGUCAUUGUUAGACCCCGCGAUGCCAAAAAAUGCAUGCCAUAUCCACAAAUCUGCUGCUGCAAUUGCUUCUAGCAUUAUUGUGGGAGAUCCUUGAUCACUUCGAGUAAAUUGACCUUUCCAUGCCACAGGACAAUUCUUCCAUUGCCAAUGCAUGCAGUCAAUGCUACCAAGCAUUCCGGAGAAACCAUGGCGCUCAGAAUGCAAUUGAAGUAAAUGUUCAACAUCAUUAGUAUUAGGCCUUCUCAAGUAUUGUGCCCCAUAAAUAUCGAUCACGCACCAACAAAAUUGUGACAAACAUUCGAUUGCAGUGCAUUCACCCAUCCUUGUGUACUCGUCCAAUUGGUCAGCAGGUGUUCCAUAUGUUAACUGAUGGAUAGCUGCUGUGGUUUUUUUGAAGUGGAGAAAGUCCUCUUUUGCCGGCUGCAUUGACCCUCAUUUGAAAAAACUCUGAAUGAUUUGUCAUCGACUCCACAAUUCGAAGGAAAAACAUGUCUGACACCACGCUCUCGAUUGUAAUAUCUUCGACUGUGUGGACGGAUGUUACGACUUGAAGAUGUAUGUUGCGUUUGCCAUUGCUCCAACAUCUUCAUAAUUUGAUCAUCAAUGUCAUCCAUCAUUUCAUCGGCUAAAAACUUUUAAAUUUCUUCUAUAAGAGAGAUAUCAGGAUAUUAAUACAUUUUUUGAGUGUGUUGAGUAUUUGGUGGCAAUGUAUUGCGUCUUGCCAAUACAUAUAUAGUGCUAGUGUUAUAAUAGCUAGUUUUCCAACGGCUCAUUUUUCUAAUGGCUAAUUUUCCAACGGCUAGUCUUCUGACUUAUUAUAAUGAAUAUAUAUAAUAUAUAUUUAUAUAAUAUAUUUUAUUAUAAUAUUAGUAUAAUUAUAUAAUAUAUUUAUAAUUAUUAUAUACAUAAUAAAAUAUAUUAUAUAAAUAUAUAUUACAAUUAUUUAAUUAAGUAUAAUUAUAUUUAUCUAAUAUAAAUUAUAAAUUUAUGAAUAUUAUAUUAAUUUAAAAUGAUGAAAUUUAAAAUUUCGUUAGCUUGGUUUCGAAUCCAUGGUCGGAUUUCAUAGUUUGGUUUCGAAUCCAUGACUGGAUUUCAUAACCUGGUUUCAAAUCCAUGGUUGGAUUUUAUAUGUUGGUUUCGAAUCCACAGCUGGAUUUCAUAACCUGGUUUCGAAUCCAUAGCAGGAUUUCAUAACUUGGUUUCAAAUCCAUGGCCGGAUUUUAUAGCUUGGUUUCGAAUCCAUGGUCGGAUUUCAUAUCUUGCGUCUAGUUACUCCAUAAAUGUACUACAUAAGUGAUUAAUAUGAUACAACAUGGUUUUUUCUGCAUCUUAUUGCACCGUAUAGUAAAAUAAAAUUAAAAAUAGACUAAGAAAUAUUAUAUUUGGCUUUUAGGAUGGAGCACAUUUGCUCAUGAAUUCGAAGCUGUUAAUCGGUCAUACCCGUGGUAUCCUUGAGUAUUUCAUAAUCACUUUGAAAAUUAUAACUUUCUAACUUAUUUGCCAAGUUUUCCAUAGCCUGCAAUUUUUCUUCUUUUUGCUGCAUCAACACUUUUCGGAUUUGAUCAAAUUCCUCACUCACAUUUUCCUCGUUCACAUUUGAUUUUGCCUUUUUCUUUCCCUUCUUUGAUGCUUUUUGACCAGGUGGGUGAACUUCACAUGCUUCAUUAUCAUCGAUGUCAAAAUUUGAAUUCGUAUUGGAUAAAGAAGUGUAUGCCCCGCUUUCAUCAGUUCUUAUCUUUUUUGAAAAACGUUGCAUAAGAGUAUUUACUUUCCACUUCGGAUCAUUUUUCAACAACACCCACACAUGUUCAUGUAAAAAAUGCUUGUUAUUAUUCUGAUGAAAUAGCUCAUGUGCGUGUUGCUUGAUCUAGUCAUCAUUCCACCUGCUAUGAUGUUCGCUGACCAAUUUGUUGUAAUAUUGGUUGAACUCAUUAACCAUCGGACUCAACCAAUGCCAAUGUGAUUUCACUGCUUUAUAUUUUCGUGGUGGUCCAGAUUUUCGAUUCUCAUUGAAGUAGUCGACGACUCGUUUCUAAAAGCUUUUUUCAUUUUGAGAGUUACCCACAACACUGCAAUUUGAAAUUGUGAGCCAAGCACUUGCAAGAAUCUUGUCAUCAUCCACACUCCAUGGAACACAUUUACGGUCAGGUUCUUCCACCGCCUCAUUUGUGAGAUUUAUAUUUUCUACCUCACGUUGUGUUGAAUACGCGGAAAUUGAGAAUCCUAAAUUGACUCCGUUGGUGUUGCAUUAUCUUGUUGACUGGCGAAAUCAAAAUCCUUCCUUAUCUCCGACGGAGUCGUUGAGCCUCCACAACCCAUACCAAGGUUAUAAUACCCCGGUGUAUAGUGAUUUCCCAUAGAAUGAUUAAAAUAAUUAGGUGACGGAUACAUGGGAAUUUGAUAUGGAAAAUGUGGUAGAUUUUGGAAAUUUGAUGGAUGAUUGGAAUUGGGUAAAUUUGGGUAAUUUGGAAUUGGAAAUGGAUAAUUUGGCAAAUUUGGAUAAUUUUGGUGGUUUUGAUUUUGUGAAGCGGAUGACUUUUCUAUAUUUGGACUAUUUAACAUAUUUCUAAAACUACUAAGAUUCUCAUCUAUAAUGAUAAAAUACUGAAAUUUAUAAAAUUAUGUAAAGAGAUUGAAAAUAGUGAAUAAGGGAGUAGGAGAGAUAAUGGACUAGAAGAUUGUGAGGUGAAAUAAAAAAUUACCUUGUGUAUUUAUAGGAAGUAAAAUAAAUUAUCCGUUGCUAAAAUAUAGCCGUUGUAAAAAAAGGCCGUUGUAAAAUGAUUGGUUCCAAAAAUGACCGUUGUAAAAUGUUUCAAAAAAUGACCAAGUAAAAUACUGUCUCAUUUUGGCUAUUUGGAUGUUUGCUGGUAUUGUAAUGCCGUUUGGAUCCCAUAACAUCUUUCAUGACACGCAUCAUCAGUAUUGUGAUGACACGCAUCAUCAGUAUUGUGCGUGUAAUCUCCGUGACAUGGUCUCCCAACCGUGUCAUGGAGCGGUGUAAUGGGGGGCAUUAUACCCCCAUUAUACAUUGCUGUGGAUGCUCUUAAAACAGCUAACGUAUUUGAAAAGUAGAAUGGACCACCUAAAUAACCAAGAUGCCGCCGAUCACAAUAAUUUGCAUAGUGAGUUCUUGCUAGUAGUUAUUUAGUGACUUCCAAGCCUUUGCUCAUUAUAAAUACCGGCCCCCUCCACAUUCCAAACUUACUCAACCACCUUCCUUGUGCUACAUUCUGCUAUCUUCUGCCACCACCACCACCCCCACUACUCCCAGAAAAUGGAAAGCUUUUCUCCCACCUGGGCUGCAUAUGCACUCGCCUGGGUUGCAACGGUGGUUAUCGCCCAUCUCUCGAAGCAUUUCCAUCAGCAAAAACUCAACCUCCCACCGGGUCCAAGGCAAUGGCCUAUAAUUGGAAACUUAAACCUCAUUGGCACCCUUCCUCAUCGUUCACUCCAUCAACUCUCCCUAACAUAUGGUCCCCUAAUGCACCUUCAAUUCGGCUCCUUCCCAGUUGUCGUUGGCUCCUCCGUGGAGAUGGCCAAAGUUUUCCUCAAAACCAUGGACGUCACAUUUGCAGGGAGGCCUAAAACUGCAGCCGGAAAAUAUACCGCUUAUGAUUGCACCAACAUGACUUGGUCCCCUUACGGACCAUACUGGCGCCAGGCACGUAAGAUUUUCCUUACGGAAUUAUUCAGUGCAAAAAGACUCGAAUCAUAUGAACAUAUUCCGGUGGAAGAAAUGAAUUCGCUUCUGCUACAGCUAUUCAAGUCAUCAGGCAAGCCUGUCGUGUUGAAAGAUUAUCUUUCAACAGGAAGUUUGAAUGUGAUUAGCAGGAUGGUCCUGGGGAAAACAUACAUUGAUGAGUCUGAGAACUCAAUUGUCACGCCCGAAGAGUUCAGGCAAAUGAUGGACGAGGUGUUUUUGCUGGCUGGUGUGUUUAACAUUGGUGACUUCAUACCUUGGAUCGAUUUCUUGGAUUUGCAGGGGUAUAUCAAGAGGAUGAAAAUCUUGAGCAAGAAAUUUGAUAGGUUUCUGGAGC
RNAcentral lists this long non-coding RNA (17310 nucleotides) under Coffea arabica (coffee). Its description in RNAcentral is "long non-coding RNA (CARA_LNC005278)". The record is from RNAcentral. Lineage: Eukaryota; Viridiplantae; Streptophyta; Magnoliopsida; Gentianales; Rubiaceae.